Molecule: ribosomal RNA, 458 nt
Filed under: uncultured bacterium
Lineage: Bacteria
Description: bacterial SSU rRNA
Rfam family: Bacterial small subunit ribosomal RNA
Source: RNAcentral
GAUCAUGGCUCAGAACGAACGCUGGCGGCAGGCCUAACACAUGCAAGUCGAGCGCGCCCUUCGGGGUGAGCGGCGGACGGGUUAGUAACGCGUGGGAACGUACCCUUUGGUAGGGAAUAGCCACUGGAAACGGUGAGUAAUACCCUAUGAGCCCUUCGGGGGAAAGAUUUAUCGCCAAAGGAUCGGCCCGCGUUAGAUUAGGUAGUUGGUGGGGUAAUGGCCUACCAAGCCUACGAUCUAUAGCUGGUUUUAGAGGAUGAUCAGCAACACUGGGACUGAGACACGGCCCAGACUCCUACGGGAGGCAGCAGUGGGGAAUCUUGGACAAUGGGGGCAACCCUGAUCCAAGCCAUGCCGCGUGAGUGAAGAAGGCCUUAGGGUCGUAAAGCUCUUUCGCCUGUGAAGAUAAUGACGGUAGCAGGUAAAGAAACCCCGGCUAACUCCGUGCCAGCAGCUGC